This 72-nucleotide transfer RNA is filed under the name Camelus bactrianus (Bactrian camel). It matches the Rfam family "tRNA". From Rfam's summary of the family: Transfer RNA (tRNA) molecules are approximately 80 nucleotides in length. Their secondary structure includes four short double-helical elements and three loops (D, anti-codon, and T loops). Lineage: Eukaryota; Metazoa; Chordata; Mammalia; Artiodactyla; Camelidae. RNAcentral also lists the same sequence under 1 other name. The record is from Rfam by way of RNAcentral.
GAGGGUAGAGCUCAGCGGUAGAGCCCAUGCUUAGCGUGCACGAGGUCCUGGGUUCACUCCCCAGUGCCUCCA